GCAAAUUGACACCGUAACUUCGGGAGAAGGUGUGCCGCUGGCGGUUAGUGACUUCGCGUCACGAAGCUGUUGGUGGUCGCAGUGAAAUGGCGGUUGUGACUGUUUACUAAAAACACAGGACUCUGCGAAGUCGUAAGACGACGUAUAGGGUCUGAUGCCUGCCCGGUGCAGGAAGGUUAAGGGGAUAUGUCAGCGCAAGCGAAGCAUUGAACCGAAGCCCCAGUAAACGGCGGCCGUAACAAUAACGGUCAUAAGGUAGCGAAAUUCCUUGUCGGGUAAGUUCCGACCUGCACGAGGGCAUAACAACAUCCGCACUGUCUCGACCAGGGACUCAGCGAAAUUACAUUGGGGGUGAAGAUGCCCUCUACCCGCGGAAAGACGGAAAGACCCCAUGAACCUUUACUGCAACUUGGCAGUGAUUUUCGGGUUGUUCUGCGUAGGAUAGGUGGGAGGCUUUGAAGCCGGGCUUCCGGGUUCGGCAGAGCCAACGUUGAAAUACCACCCUGAAUAAUCUGGAAAUCUAACCUGCGCCCAUGAUCUGGGCGAGGGACACUGCCUGGUGGGCAGUUUGACUGGGGCGGUCGCCUCCUAAAUUGUAACGGAGGCGUGCGACGGUUCCCUCAGGCUGAUUGGAAACCAGCCGUAGAGUGCAAACGCAUAAGGGAGCUUUACUGCGAGACUGACAAGUCGACCAGUUGCGAAAGCAGGUGUUAGUGAUCCGGUGGUACCACAUGGAAGGGCCAUCGCUCAUCGGAUAAAAGGUACUCUGGGGAUAACAGGCUGAUCGCGCCUGAGAGUUCACAUCGGCGGCGCGGUUUGGCACCUCGAUGUCGGCUCAUCGCAUCCUGGGGCUGGAGCAGGUCCCAAGGGUUUGGCUGUUCGCCAAUUAAAGCGGUACGCGAGCUGGGUUUAAAACGUCGUGAGACAGUUUGGUCCCUAUCUUCCGUGGGCGCAGGACACUUGAGAGGAGCUAUCCAUAGUACGAGAGGACCUGGAUGGACGAACCUCUGGUGCUCCGGUUGUCACGCCAGUGGCAUAGCCGGGUAGCCAUGUUCGGAACAGAUAACCGCUGAAGGCAUAUAAGCGGGAAGCUGGCCUCAAGACUAGGUGUCCCUGACGCAAGUCACUAAAGGCCCCUCGAAGACUACGAGGUUGAUAGGCUCGGUGUGGAAGCACAGCGAUGUGCGGAGCUAACGAGUACUAAUAGGCCGUGCGGCUUGACCUC
RNAcentral lists this ribosomal RNA (1225 nucleotides) under metagenome. Its description in RNAcentral is "bacterial LSU rRNA". It matches the Rfam family "Bacterial large subunit ribosomal RNA", at positions 1717 to 2925 of the family's 2925-position model. The record is from RNAcentral.